RNAcentral lists this ribosomal RNA (422 nucleotides) under uncultured archaeon. Its description in RNAcentral is "partial 16S ribosomal RNA". It matches the Rfam family "Archaeal small subunit ribosomal RNA", at positions 323 to 746 of the family's 1478-position model. The record is from RNAcentral.
CUACGGGAGGCAGCAGUUAGGAAUAUUUUGCAAUGCGCGCAAGCGUGACAAAUUGAGUCAGAGUGCUUUUCUUAUUGAAAAGCUUUUAUGGAAUGUAAAAAGUUCCAUGAAUAAGGACUGGGUAAGACUAGUGCCAGCCGCCGCGGUAAUACUAGCGGUCCAAGUCGCAGCCAUUUUUAUUGGGUCUAAAACAUCCGUAGCUUGCUUGAUAAGUUCUUUGUGAAAUUUUAUCUCUUAAAGAUAGAGCGUGCAAGGAGUACUGUUAAGCUAGAGACUGGAAGACGUAGGAAGUAUGUUCAAAGUAGCGGUAAAAUGUGUUAAUCUUGAACAGACUCACAAUAGCGAAGGCAUCCUACGAGGACAGUUCUGACAGUAAGGGAUGAAGGCUAAGGUCGCGAAAGGGAUUAGAUACCCUAGUAGUC